Molecule: ribosomal RNA, 253 nt
Filed under: uncultured bacterium
Lineage: Bacteria
Description: partial 16S ribosomal RNA
Rfam family: Bacterial small subunit ribosomal RNA
Source: RNAcentral
UACAGAGGUCCCGAGCGUUGUUCGGAUUCACUGGGCGUAAAGGGUGCGCAGGUGGGUUGGCAAGUUUGAUGUGAAAUCCCUCGGCUCAACCAAGGAAGUGCUUUCGAAACUGCUGAGCUUGAGUACGAAAGAGGAUCGCGGAAUUCCCGGUGUAGAGGUGAAAUUCGUAGAUAUCGGGAGGAACACCAGUGGCGAAGGCGGCGAUCUGGGUCGAUACUGACGCUGAGGUGCGAAAGCGUGGGGAGCAAACAGG